GGAAACUACGCAAAGAUACUACCCGUUGCAAAGCUUAGCGGUUUUUUCUAGAUUGAGAUCACACUCUAUGACGCAAUUGGUACCGAUCUUGAGAACGGCGGUGCAUUCGAGUAUUCAUACCAUCAAGGAUGCUCGCCACAGGAAACCUUCCGUCUAUCUACGGGGAUAUUCCGCCGCCAAACUUCGAAUAUACACUCAGCAUACAGUAAAUACUUCAUGUAUAUACUCCGGCGAACAUCGUUGCGGAAAUAUAUCAGGCGCCAAGCGCAACAGGUUGGUCUGCAUUCUAUUCGGUAUCACCCAGAAGGAUAUGAUGAAGUGCUACGACCUCCUGUCUAGUUUGGCCAAAGCGAAAUCAAUUCAAACUACACAAACAAUGGCAUUCGACAGCAUACAAUAAAUAUUUAUCGAUGUGAUGAUCUGCGCCGUCGACUGAGCAAUUUCGAACUGCGUACACCGUUAGUUUUUUAAUCAUGGCUGAAGGACUGUAAUCUCCGUUAGGUUGGAAUACAAUUUUUGUCUAGUUUUGAGAGAUUUUAAA
Long non-coding RNA from Armigeres subalbatus, 541 nucleotides. RefSeq lists it as uncharacterized. Lineage: Eukaryota; Metazoa; Arthropoda; Insecta; Diptera; Culicidae. The record is from RefSeq and is a predicted model, not a curated record. The transcript is spliced from 2 exons.